Mus musculus (house mouse) is the source of this 2039-nucleotide long non-coding RNA. RefSeq annotates it as predicted gene, 41729. Lineage: Eukaryota; Metazoa; Chordata; Mammalia; Rodentia; Muridae. The transcript has 2 exons. The record is from RefSeq and is a predicted model, not a curated record.
GCAGCAACAGCAAGAGAAGGAGGAAGAGGAAGGGGAGGAGGAGGAGAAGGAAGAGGAGGAGGAGGAGAAGUCACCAUUUUUGGACUCAGCUUCUUGAUGAUGGUGAUGGUGAUGGUGAUGGUGAUGGUGAUGGUGAUGGUGAUGGUGAUGAUGAUGAUGAUGCCAUCAUUAGGUGCUGACCCAGCUUCUUCAAGCUCCCAAGGCUAUCCCUAUGUAGAGCAGAUUAACCUCAAACUCAUGGAGCUCACACACCUGUGCCUCCCAAGUGCCAGGAUUCACCAGACUACGUCAGCUCUACUGUCUCUUUGCAACUUCCCUGGAAAUUUAUUAACUCUGGGAAGAAGUGAAGGAGACUUACAAAUGGAUUCUAUCUGUCAGGAUUCCUGGAAAUUUUCAUUUGUAUGUCCAGUGACAUUAUAAAGGAUAUGAAGGGGGAGGAAUCAGGAGGCAAGAACAACACCAUCUACCUAGAAGACAACUUCUCACAUUUACAGGGGGGAGUCUCUUCAGGUCAUGACUAUGUCAUGUCCUCUGUAUGUUUAUGCUAUGUCUGGGAAAAGCAUUCUUAGACAUUAGAAUGGUCACUGAGAGAGAUUCUCUGUGCCUGUCAUACCACAGUCUCCCACUGGACAGUUUAAAGAAGAAAUCUUUGCAGUGCAGUUCUUUCUUGUCCCAAGAUAACAUUGUAUAUAACCAAUCUGUGUUCAUGUGAGUAUGUUUUCAAUGAACUUUAUUGGGCUCCUACUAUAUUUACAAGUCUUCACUUUCUUUAAGAAUGUGCUUAGUCAUACCUUCUUUGAAUCCCAAACAGUCCAUAUGUAGGCUAGCCAAAGCCUCUCUGAGAAGUGUUCCUAAAAUAAAACAUUCCACUGGGCCAGUGAGAUGGCUCAGUGGAAACUGAAGUUAGUGAAAUUAUGAGCCACUAUGCCCGUGCUGGGAAUUGAACCCUGAUCCCUGGAAGAGCUGCCAGUGAGCCUUUUCUUAAACCCCCUCUUUAUGGAGAUAUUUUUAAAACUUAAAUUCAGUUAUGGACAAUUUUUAUUAUAUUAACCCUAAACCUAAUCACAUUUUUAAGAGUGUGGAUUGAAAAUGUUUCAUUAUGUCCUGUGCAUCUGACUUUCCAUAAUGGUAGACAAUACUUAAGGCUGUCUCCAAGGAUCCUUCCUUUAUUUACAGCUCUUUUCUCCAAUGUGAAAAAGAAAGAGGGAUUACUUUAUUUCAAGGUUUUAAGUUGCAAGGAAUCUGAUUUGCUUUUUGCUUGGCACCACAAGCAAUUUGAGUCUCACUACCCAAGUCCCCAGUGGUACAUAAGCAAUACGCUGCCUUUCAAAGAUGUAUCAAUAACCAUCUUCUUGGCCAAGUUUUAUUGAACACAUCUUUCUUCUGCAGCAAAAUGCAAUCUGUUUUUGAUGAGUGAGAAGGAGGGUGGACGGAAAGGUGAAAGAAUCAGCCAGUUAAAAAGCAAGUAUUGGCUAAAAGUGGGCAUAUGUGGGGGUCAGGGAGGGGGGAUUGAAACCUCAGUGUGACUGCUGUAAGAUUGAUGAAAGCCACAGAGGAAGGGAGUGGCUCCUGACCACAUAACGCCAAGCAAUAAAUGAGUGUAAUUACCCAAAGCACAUGAACAGUAUGAUGCCACACAGGGAAGAAAGCAUAAAUUCACAAAAUUUUGAUUAAUACUGGCUCAGAAAUAUAAUGCAUAACCAUUAAGUAUGAACCGAUGUAAUUAUGGUUUGCAAAACUAUAAUUUAUUCAAAUUUGAGAAGGCGGUGCCACUGAAUGUCAUAAAAAAAUAUAUACAGAUGCGCCCACUAAAAUAACCUCAAUCCCUUAAAAAUUUAGGAACUGUUUUCUGUUUAAUUUUGUGUGUGCCCAUGCAUUUGUAACCUAUGUAUUUGUAACCUUUCUGAGAUUUCUGUAUGUAUGUGUCUGAAAUAAGUUCCAGUUGAAGGAGAUGUCUGCUGAAUAUUAAUGAGACAGACUGUCUAUUUUAAUACAUGUUUUUGUACAAACUGAUUAUAUUAAAGUAUGUCGUAAUUGAA